CUACGGGCGCUGCAGUGAGGAAUUUUGCGCAAUGGGGGAAACCCUGACGCAGCAACGCCGCGUGAGUGAUGAAGGCUUUCGAGUCGUAAAGCUCUGUCAAGUGGGAAGAACCUACUAAGUGCCAAUACCACUUAGUACUGACGGUACCACUGAAGGAAGCACCGGCUAACUCCGUGCCAGCAGCCGCGGUAAUACGGGGGGUGCAAGCGUUACUCGGAAUUAUUGGGCGUAAAGGGCGCGCAGGCGGCCAGGUAAGUCAGAUGUGAAAGCCCGGGGCUCAACCCCGGAAGUGCAUUUGAAACUACUUGGCUUGAGUAUGGGAGAGGGAAGUGGAAUUCCUGGUGUAGAGGUGAAAUUCGUAGAUAUCAGGAGGAACACCGGUGGCGAAGGCGACUUCCUGGACCAAUACUGACGCUGAGGCGCGAAGGCGUGGGUAGCAAACAGGAUUAGAUACCCGUGUAGUC
This 464-nucleotide ribosomal RNA is filed under the name uncultured bacterium. RNAcentral describes it as "partial 16S ribosomal RNA". It matches the Rfam family "Bacterial small subunit ribosomal RNA", at positions 339 to 795 of the family's 1533-position model. The record is from RNAcentral.